GCUGGGCGUGGUGGUGCAUGCCUGUAAUCCCAGAAACUUAGGAGGCUGAGGCAGGGGGAUAGAGAAUUCAAAGCUAGCCUCAGCAAUUUAGCAAGGCCCUAAUCAACUUAGUGAGACCCUGACUCUA
This 127-nucleotide small RNA is filed under the name Marmota monax (woodchuck). Lineage: Eukaryota; Metazoa; Chordata; Mammalia; Rodentia; Sciuridae. The record is from RNAcentral.